RNAcentral lists this transfer RNA (63 nucleotides) under Lanthanaphalara mira. RNAcentral describes it as "tRNA-Cys". Lineage: Eukaryota; Metazoa; Arthropoda; Insecta; Hemiptera; Aphalaridae. The record is from RNAcentral.
UAGUUUCUUAGUCAAUAAAUGAUAUUAAAUUGCAAAUUUAAAGUAAAACUAAAUUUAGAGACU